MicroRNA precursor from Pan troglodytes (chimpanzee), 73 nucleotides. It matches the Rfam family "mir-3689 microRNA precursor family". NCBI's taxonomy places the organism in Eukaryota, Metazoa, Chordata, Mammalia, Primates, Hominidae. The record is from Rfam.
GGGAGGUGUGAUCCCGUGCUCCCUGGGAGGUCUGAUCCCGUGCUUUCCUGGGAGGUGUGAUCCCGUGCUCCCU